CACGUAGGGGGCAAGCGUUGUCCGGAUUUAUUGGGCGUAAAGCGCUCGUAGGCGGUUCGGUAAGUCGGGUGUGAAACCUCCAGGCUCAACCUGGUGACGCCACCCGAUACUGCCGUGACUUGAGUUCGGUAGGGGAGCGGGGAAUUCCUGGUGUAGCGGUGAAAUGCGCAGAUAUCAGGAGGAACACCGGUGGCGAAGGCGCCGCUCUGGGCCGAAACUGACGCUGAGGAGCGAAAGCGUGGGGAGCAAACAGG
RNAcentral lists this ribosomal RNA (254 nucleotides) under uncultured bacterium. Its description in RNAcentral is "partial 16S ribosomal RNA". It matches the Rfam family "Bacterial small subunit ribosomal RNA", at positions 524 to 776 of the family's 1533-position model. The record is from RNAcentral.